UAGGUGGCGAGCGUUGUCCGGAAUUACUGGGUGUAAAGGGAGCGUAGGCGGGAAAGCAAGUCAGAAGUGAAAAUUAUGGGCUUAACCCAUAACCUGCUUUUGAAACUGUUUUUCUUGAGUGAGUCAGAGGCAAGCGGAAUUCCAAGUGUAGCGGUGAAAUGCGUAGAUAUUUGGAGGAACACCGGUGGCGAAGGCGGCUUGCUGGGGCUUUACUGACGCUGAGGCUCGAAAGCGUGGGGAGCAAA
This 245-nucleotide ribosomal RNA is filed under the name uncultured bacterium. Its description in RNAcentral is "partial 16S ribosomal RNA". It matches the Rfam family "Bacterial small subunit ribosomal RNA", at positions 528 to 772 of the family's 1533-position model. The record is from RNAcentral.